This 376-nucleotide ribosomal RNA is filed under the name uncultured organism. RNAcentral describes it as "partial 16S ribosomal RNA". It matches the Rfam family "Bacterial small subunit ribosomal RNA", at positions 524 to 896 of the family's 1533-position model. The record is from RNAcentral.
GGGAGGGGGGGCCAGCGUUGUUCGGAAUUAUUGGGCGUAAAGGGCGCGUAGGGCGGCCUGGUUAGUCAGACGUGAAAUCCCGCGGCUCAACCGCGGAACUGCGUUUGAUACUGCCCGGACUUGAGUCCCGGAGAGGGUAGCGGAAUUCCCAGUGUAGCGGUGAAAUGCGUAGAUAUUGGGAGGAACACCAGUGGCGAAGGCGGCUACCUGGACGGGUACUGACGCUGAGGCGCGAAAGCGUGGGGAGCAAACAGGAUUAGAUACCCUGGUAGUCCACGCCGUAAACGAUGGGCACUUGGUGUUGCGGGUAUCGACCCCUGCAGUGCCGAAGCUAACGCAUUAAGUGCCCCGCCUGGGGAGUACGGUCGCAAGGCUG